AGUGGGAUAGCUGGGUCAAAUGGUGGUUCCAUUCCAAGUUCUUCAAGGAAACUCCAUACUGCUUUCCAGAGUGAAGCACCAAUUUGCAGUCCCACCAGCAAU
This 102-nucleotide microRNA precursor is filed under the name Marmota monax (woodchuck). Lineage: Eukaryota; Metazoa; Chordata; Mammalia; Rodentia; Sciuridae. The record is from RNAcentral.